AUGACAGCCAUGUGGGCCAGCGGUGCUGCAGGCCUUUUCCUUCUGCUUCUCCUCCUGUCGUUAAUUGCCUUCUUACUGUACAGAAAGAAGAAUAAAGGCUCAACUGUUAAGGAAAGAAGCAAAGCAGUCAACAUGGCCUCGCAACCAGAAGACGAAGCAGAAUCCGGUGACGUUGCCUAUGCUUCCUUGAACCACCGCUCGCUGAAGACCGAACAUGCAGCCAGUCCUGACCGAGCCCCGGAAUCAUGUAUUUAUGCACUGUUGGCUGAAGGCAGAACAAAGGAGGGCCAAUAGUCAAGCCUUCUCAGGGUUGGGGAUAAUGGGACAUCACUGCAACCUUGAGGCUCAUGGAAAUACUGUACAUCUUAAGGAUGGCUCAUAUAAGCAGGUUUUGCUUGUUUCUCUAUACAAACAUUGUUAUCCAAGCUCAUAAUGGAAACACAGUUGUGGUAACCUAGCUGGCAUAUGGAGAGGGUGCCAUCAGCUACAGGUGUCAAAGUGCACAGAUUUUGACAAACUGAGGUCACCUGGAGAUUUGAGGUAAUGAUUCCCCGCUCCCGCUCCCAUUUCCAACAUCUAUCAUUGCUGUACUAUUUCUUUUAUUUCGAAAAAUAAAUUUAAUGAUUUUGGACUGAGUGUGGAUGGC
This 646-nucleotide long non-coding RNA is filed under the name Pogona vitticeps (central bearded dragon). RNAcentral describes it as "lncRNA (ENSPVIG00000015404.1)". Lineage: Eukaryota; Metazoa; Chordata; Lepidosauria; Squamata; Agamidae. The record is from RNAcentral.